GUGUGUGUAAUUUGACUUUUUUUUUUUUGUUAGUUUUGUUUUGUUUUUUUUGUGACGCUCGAAAGAUUUGUGGCUUGUAAAAUUAUUGGACGCGUACAUGUGGACGUAGCCCCCGCCAGUGGCGAUUUGCGUGCUUAUGUUCAGUGUUUUUCGGGGGGUCUUCAGUUGGUUUUUUUUCGGCGGAUGAACUUUGCCCCAUUUCUACGAGGGGUGGCCGUCAGACGUGUGCAAACAGGAGAAUGUCGGUUGCGUUCUUUGAAUGUACUCUUUCUUCUCUGCGUGGAUUCUUUCUGUUGCUGUACAUAAAUAUAUAGACAUAUCUAUUCUAUGGGCUGUGCUGAUGUCAGGGAGUAGAGGGGGUGGCCACACGAGCCCCCUUUAGAUUUCAGUCCUCGCCCCCCCCCCUCCACUAAAUAUGCCCCUGAUAUUUACUGUAACAUGUGAUCAUGUGUUAUAUGAUUGAAUGUGUGAUGGUGAUUGUGUGCCCCAGUCCCUCCUCGUACUUCACCCCCCCCCCCCCCCGCCCCCACAUCCCCUGCCCCCUCCUCUCUUUACACAGUCAUUGACUUCACCUCCUUUUGGAAUUAAUUCCGUCCAAUUUAUGGCUUCUCCCAUCCGUCCUUUGUGGGAUUUGAACGCGCGGCCUCGGAGCUCUUUGAUCAUGAGCCAGUGGGAGGAAGUGCUCGCUUCUGCUAAUGCUAGUCCACGGGCGUUUUACAGUUCGGGGGGGAAAUCUGUCAGCCGAUGGGGGGAAGCAGAGUAGAGAUAACCAGCUCAGGGCGGACUCACACUAGGCUGUUCCAACCAGGCUUCAGGCCACUUGAAGCCCCAAGACCAGAACCUUUUUGAGAAUUAUUCAUCACACCCAAUACCUUAUAUGGAAAUCAACAUGGAAACUAUUACAAAUUAUCCCCAAGCGGGGGGGUAUGAAACCCAUCCCCAUUCCCAUCCCCAUCCACAUCUUGCUUAGACACGUGCAGCGUAUAUAUUAUCAUGAGGAAUCCACUACUCCCAUUUACCAGAUGUUCAUCAUAACUAGCAUCUUGCAAAACAGAAAAUUAACACAAGGACAAAUAGUCCCAGGCAGGCUCGGUACGUGUCAUGAUUAAUGCCAUGGCUACUCCUGUCAUCUUGCAAAAUAGAAAUCAACACAAUGACUGGAAAUUAUCCAUGCCGCGCUUGUUUGGACGCAAUUUUGGUGUCGUGAUUAAUGCAAAGACCCAAACACCCCCAACCAGGUCUGCCUAUUUUUAAUCCACUGAUCAAACCUGUUCAUGAUAACCGCCCCCCUCCUUGCCUUGCACAAUAGAAAUCACCAAAGACAAAUGGAAAUAAUCCAUAGUCGGAAGAUAAUCGGGCCUGUGUCCCAACAAAUGCACCCGCUCCGCUUGCCAGUUACUCAUAACAACCACCACUUUGCCCAGUCGAAAUAAUCCACAAAGCGAAUGACUUGUUGGCCUCGUGUGAGUGCGCCGUAGCGAUAUCUUCAAGAGGCUUCCCGCCGGCCGCAUGCUCAACUUCCCGUUCAGCAAAAUCACCCAUCAUUUCACUCAAUUGGUUUCCUUUGGUCAAACAAAUCAGGGCUCCUCCCCCCGUUGACGUUUCCUAUACAGUACAAAGACUUCCAAUCGCAUCGUGACGUCCAAUCGCAUGACGGACGGGGCAGGAGAUGAACAACUGUCGGCGUCGUGCGCCGCCUCCGCCGAUGAUCUAUGCACUACCCUCAGUCACCACACGAUGUCACUCAUGCGCACACAUUAGCGAGACUGUUACCAACUGAUACAAAAUGUACCCGUGUUGUUUUUGUUUUCGGGGAAAAAAAAGGCCAAAUGACAACUCCUGAUCAAAUUGUUUUUUUAAAAAUGAGAAACUGCGUUUGCGAGCCUAGCCUGGUGGUUCACGUAGCAGAUGGUUGUCUUAAAUACAAAAAUGUACUUUAGAGUGUAAAUGUUGGUGCUUUUAGAGAGACAAAAAUGACUAUUAUUGUAGAGCAUAAGCAUUUAAAUGUCCCGUUUUCUGGCAGCGAAUCUGAGUCUCUUUUUAUUGGUUAGCCUAUGAGUGGCGUCGAAGGGAAGAUUUCUCAAUCUAGCCGCGUAUUCCAUGCAUGGCUUCGCACUGUUGGAUUGUUUUCCCAUUGCAGGUGGUAAAGCAGCUUUAAAAAAAA
Molecule: long non-coding RNA, 2164 nt
Organism: Hippocampus comes (tiger tail seahorse)
Lineage: Eukaryota; Metazoa; Chordata; Actinopteri; Syngnathiformes; Syngnathidae
Exons: 2
Source: RefSeq, a predicted model, not a curated record